Long non-coding RNA from Myotis davidii, 86 nucleotides. RefSeq lists it as uncharacterized. The record is from RefSeq and is a predicted model, not a curated record. NCBI's taxonomy places the organism in Eukaryota, Metazoa, Chordata, Mammalia, Chiroptera, Vespertilionidae. The transcript has 3 exons.
GCAGAAGAAUUUUGAGUCAGAGAUUUUGCUGGUUUUGGCACGCACUCACACAAAGGUUGCUCACCCCUGCACUAUAUGGAAAAUGG